RNAcentral lists this ribosomal RNA (253 nucleotides) under uncultured bacterium. Its description in RNAcentral is "partial 16S ribosomal RNA". It matches the Rfam family "Bacterial small subunit ribosomal RNA", at positions 524 to 776 of the family's 1533-position model. The record is from RNAcentral.
UCCGGAGGGUGCGAUCGUUAUUCGGAAUUACUGGGCGUAAAGCGCGUGCAGGCGGGAGAGUGGGUCUGAUGUGAAAGCCCGGGGCUUAACCCCGGAAGAGCAUUGGAAACUGUUCUUCUUGAGUUUCGGAGAGGAAGGGGGAAUUCCCGGUGUAGAGGUGAAAUUCGUAGAGAUCGGGAGGAACACCAGUGGCGAAGGCGCCCUUCUGGACGACAACUGACGCUGAGACGCGAAAGCGUGGGGAGAAAACAGG